AGUGAACGCUGGCGGUAGACCUAACACAUGCAAGUCGAACGGCAGCACAGUAAGAGCUUGCUCUUACGGGUGGCGAGUGGCGGACGGGUGAGGAAUACAUCGGAAUCUACUUUUUCGUGGGGGAUAACGUAGGGAAACUUACGCUAAUACCGCAUACGACCUACGGGUGAAAGCAGGGGAUCUUCGGACCUUGCGCGAUUGAAUGAGCCGAUGUCGGAUUAGCUAGUUGGCGGGGUAAAGGCCCACCAAGGCGACGAUCCGUAGCUGGUCUGAGAGGAUGAUCAGCCACACUGGAACUGAGACACGGUCCAGACUCCUACGGGAGGCAGCAGUGGGGAAUAGUGGACAAUGGGCGCAAGCCUGAUCCAGCCAUACCGCGUGGGUGAAGAAGGCCUUCGGGUUGUAAAGCCCUUUUGUUGGGAAAGAAAAGCAGCAGGUUAAUACCCCGCUGUUCUGACGGUACCCAAAGAAUAAGCACCGGCUAACUUCG
Molecule: ribosomal RNA, 490 nt
Filed under: uncultured bacterium
Lineage: Bacteria
Description: partial 16S ribosomal RNA
Rfam family: Bacterial small subunit ribosomal RNA
Source: RNAcentral